UAGGGAAUCUUCGGCAAUGGGGGCAACCCUGACCGAGCAACGCCGCGUGAGUGAAGAAGGUUUUCGGAUCGUAAAGCUCUGUUGUAAGUCAAGAACGAGUGUGAGAGUGGAAAGUUCACACUGUGACGGUAGCUUACCAGAAAGGGACGGCUAACUACGUGCCAGCAGCCGCGGUAAUACGUAGGUCCCGAGCGUUGUCCGGAUUUAUUGGGCGUAAAGCGAGCGCAGGCGGUUUGAUAAGUCUGAAGUUAAAGGCUGUGGCUCAACCAUAGUUCGCUUUGGAAACUGUCAAACUUGAGUGCAGAAGGGGAGAGUGGAAUUCCAUGUGUAGCGGUGAAAUGCGUAGAUAUAUGGAGGAACACCGGUGGCGAAAGCGGCUCUCUGGUCUGUAACUGACGCUGAGGCUCGAAAGCGUGGGGAGCGAACAGGAUUAGAUACCCUGGUAGUCCACGCCGUAACGAUGAGUGCUAGGUGUUGAAUCCUUUCCGGGAUUCAGUGCCGCAGCUAACGCAUUAAGCACUCCGCCUGGGGAGUACGACCGCAAGGUU
This 548-nucleotide ribosomal RNA is filed under the name uncultured bacterium. Its description in RNAcentral is "bacterial SSU rRNA". It matches the Rfam family "Bacterial small subunit ribosomal RNA", at positions 355 to 895 of the family's 1533-position model. The record is from RNAcentral.